AAUACCCAAUCCUGACACAGGGAGGUAGUGACAAGAAAUAACAAUACGGGACAAGUCUUGUAAUUGGAAUGAUGGAGAUAUAAAUCUCUUCCAGAGUAGCAAUUGGAGGGCAAGUCUGGUGCCAGCAGCCGCGGUAAUUCCAGCUCCAAUAGCGUAUAUUAAAAUUGUUGCAGUUAAAGAGCUCGUAGUUGAAUUUUUGCUGGUUAUUACAAAUUACCUCUUGGUCGAUUGUAAUUACCCGGCAUUUAUCGAUAUAUUAGCAUUAGUUAAUUUGUCGAUAGGUUACUUUGAGAAAAUUAGAGUGCUUAAAGCAGGCAGUGCCUUGAAUAAUUUAGCAUGGAAUAACAUAGUAGGACUUUGGUUCUAUUUUGUUGGUUUUAGGAACCAAAGUAAUGGUUAAUAGGAACAGUUGGGGGCAUUCGUAUUUAAA
RNAcentral lists this ribosomal RNA (430 nucleotides) under Theileria sp. Its description in RNAcentral is "SSU rRNA". It matches the Rfam family "Eukaryotic small subunit ribosomal RNA", at positions 439 to 902 of the family's 1831-position model. The record is from RNAcentral. Lineage: Eukaryota; Apicomplexa; Aconoidasida; Piroplasmida; Theileriidae.